UAGGCUUUAUUGAGCAGAUUGAAAGGACAAAGCUUCCACAGUGUGGAAGGGGUCCCGAGCGGGUAGCCAGAGUUAGAUUAUGUGACUGCCUUUUAAACUCUUUAAGGCCGGAAAUACGUGUGGCGAGAUGUUACCAGAGCGAGAAACAAAGGCAAUUAACCGUUUGUAACAUGUCUUAGAUCUUGAGGAAAACUGGAAUUGCAACUUAGGUUUUAUCUACUUUAUGAACUUGCAGCAGCAUGGCAAAGGAGACGGGAUCUUACAGGACUUUGUUACAAAGUAUGUUUUCAAGGAAUUGGAAUUGGGAGGAUAGAUAAGGUCCGCUGGUCACAGAAAAACAGGCAGUUAACGUUCCUUUUACUUUAGUUUCGGGGGAGGCGGAAGAGAAAGAGAGAGAGAGGACACAGGGAAACUUACAGCAAAAGUUUCGAUGUUUAUAGCUUUCUUGGGGAAGAAAACACAUGCACAGAUCCUGGUGUUAGGAAUAUUUUAAGCAUGUAUCUUCAAUAUUAUUCAUCCAGGACCGAAGUAAGUCCUGAUGCAGGAAAUGAGUGACUUUCACAGCUUUCUGAGCCCCUACUCAACCCAGGAAGUCCAGCUGGCACCUCCUCUGGAUCACAAGCACUUUGGGAGGCCAAAGCAAGAGGAUUGCUCGAGCCCAGGAGUUUGAGACCAGACUGGACAACAUAGUAAACCUCAUCCCUACAAAAAAAAAAAAAAAGUAAAAAACGAAGCUGAAGGAUCUUUUGAGCCCGGGAGGUCGAGAUUGCAAUGAGCCGUGAUCAUGCCAUUACACUUACACCUGGGUGGCAGAGUGAGACCCUGCCUCAAAAAAAUAAAUAAAUAAAAAAUAAAUCUUAAAUUGACUAUAAAUGCUUUUGCUUAGAAGACCUAGAUUGUCUAGAAACAUAAGAGAUCUACAAAGAACUAUAUCCAAAUAUUUAGUUAUUUCUGAUAGGGUUCCAUUUCUCAUUUUCAGAGAAAGCUGCCAGGAUAUGAUCAGUGUUCCUAACAGUUCUUGCUGAUUAGAAGAACUUCAUCAGGAGUUAGUAUUCAACACUCUACUGUACUGUAAUAUAAUCUUUUUCUGCCUCUACUGCCCCAUGCAUGCAUUAUAGAUGGGAUUCACAAAAACACACAGAGAACAAAUAUUUGAUUCCCCGAAGACAGUAAUUUCAAAUUCAACUUAGAACAAAUAUAUUUUUCUCCAAAAGUCUAAUCUAUGAUUUUAUGUGGUUCACUUUAUCAAUUGAUCAUUCUAAUUUUCUUGCCAACCUCUGGCAUUCUGAGAAGUUCACCUUCCAUUCACAUAUAAGAAGAUGUCCUCAUGUGUUUAUAGUGUGGCUGUGAGUCAUUGGGUGGCACCAACUCUUUGUGCCAUUUCAUUUAUCUAUUUUAAAGCAAACUUUCAUCUGAUUAGAUCUACUUAAUUUUGUUAUAAAUAGUCCUUUCAUCCUAUUGCUGUUUAUAGAGUAUCCUUCAGUGUAUAAAAAUAAAGGCAAAUAUAGCUAUAAUGUAUUUUAGAAAUACUCUACUAUUACCUUUUCGCUUAACAUAUUUUUAUACAAUUAUUAUCUGGAACAAAGUUUCUCAAG
RNAcentral lists this long non-coding RNA (1595 nucleotides) under Homo sapiens (human). RNAcentral's name for it is "HSALNT0334944". The record is from RNAcentral. Lineage: Eukaryota; Metazoa; Chordata; Mammalia; Primates; Hominidae.